CCUUUUUCUUGGUCUGCCUUGGAGAUGACAUCCUAAGUAGUUCUAAGUAGUAUCUUUGUGGUUGUUCCACAUUAGUUAAGAAUCAGCAGAAGGCCAGGUAGGUUACCUCCUGACCUUUUGUGUUAUCUCUCUUCCCUCAGACCCAAUCCUCGGACUGCAAGAGGCUACCAGCUGCAAUCUCCCCACCCCACCCCCCAUAUCUCCUAAGGAUCCCACAGACCACCCCCUCCUGGACUCCCUUACCCUACUCAUCAUUGUGUCCCAGCUCCCAACUUGGGUGAAGUUGUGCUCAACCACAGGACAUACCUGCCAGAAGACCAGGUGGGUCGCCCCCGUUGAUACCCUGCUGGCCGGAGCAUACAACCAGGAAGCAGAACUCUUUAAGAUUCAUGCUACAAUCCAAGGCUCAAGUUUCUGAAUACUCACAGAAUUUCCCAACAGGGGGAAAAGAACAGUACCCAUUGCUCCCAGUGAGGCCACCAGAAAUAGAUGAGGAGGAGGUACUAUUGCAACUCUAGCUGACCCAUCACAUAGCUUCAUCUUUCAGAGAAGAGAAAGAUACAAUGAAGAGCUGGGAUGUUUUAUUACUGUCCUAGAGGCUGGAACAUUUUAUUCUAUUACUCUUAAAGAUGUCUGAAGUGCAUCAGUGCUGAUGAAAGGCACACCAAGUCUUCAGUGACCUAAGGAGGGUUUCUGAAAACCCAAGGGGAAAAGAAAAUCUGUCCUCUUUCCCUGCCAAGCAGACAGGGACAUGAAGAAUCCUCCAUUGAUGGCUCCUUGUCCUAAGAUGACAAUGAACAGCUGUUGCUGCUAUCAAGUGCUUUGGAGGUGCUCCUCAGGGCAAUAAUCAAGGCCUAGAAGUUCCGAUUUUUACAUUGUUUCAUCAGAAGCAGCUGGCUUCAGACCCAAAGGAACAAACAGAAACCUUGAUAACUGCCUGGGUGUUGAUAUGUGGGUUAUUGAAAUGGCUCAUUAUUACCACGACACAAAAAAGAAUCCUCAAUGCCAAUCCCCAAAUUCCUCAUUCCAGUAAUUCAGAUAUAGGCUCUGCAAGACUAGAGAUGCAGUAUUUAAGUUCCUUUCUUUCAAUAAAUGUGCUCUGGAAGACAUUUAUAAAUAAAUUGUGCUUAUUUACUUAGAUUUCCCUGAGAACUUGAUUCUUGAGCACUAACAGUUUAGAGGAACUUGGGUUGAUACUGUUGGUCAUUGGUAAUGCUAGGGAGUAGUGGCUACAAUGAUGAUAUGUGUUUCUCUUGAAGCUAUCAAUUUUGCAAAGAAGGUAUUUACACAACUCAUAAAAUGGAAUAAAUAACAAACUGAGAAAUGAGAAGGUACUUAUUCUUCCUUUAGGCAAAAUAGAUAGGGAUGUGGGAGAGUGGGAAUAAAAAUUGGGAGGUUACCCAUAGUGCGUUGUCUCCAAACCCUACCUAGCAGUAGUACAUGGACCUAGUAACCUGGCACCUCGUAAAUAGAUUUAACUUAGGCACACCAGGUUUCCCCUUGAGAAGUUUCCAUAUGUAUUUUUGCAUCAAUCCUUUAACUAAGGAUUUUUCACUCCCUUACAUUAAGUAUGAGUGCAGUUCUGUGAUUGACAACAAACUUCCUAGGUAGACAUUCUGCUUUGGGAAGGAGUACUGGGGAAGAAAUAUGCUUUCUGGCAUUUCAAGGAGGCUUCUCUGUGUGAGUUAUUGCUGAGGGCUCCACAGCCGCCGUGUUUGUUUACAUCAUCCCUGCACUACAGUGCCGAAUUCAUUGUUUGUAAAGCUCUUUGGGAUAAUUUGUAUAUGAAGGAUUCUAUAUAAAAAUCAGUAUUUAUUCCUUUUUGUAUUAUGCUUUUUCAGUCUGACACAUAAGGAUGCUUUUAUAUGCAGUAAGUAAGAAGUUAAGCACUCAACUCCUAUUAACAGCACUAGGAACUGGCUUCCAGCGUUCUAUCUGGGGCAAUGGAAAAGGACUCACAGGUGUGCAGGUAAAUUGAAACAAAGACAGGGGAGAGCUCAAGUACUUAUUCAGCUGCUGUAAGUUUUAUGUGCAACCAAGCUAUAAAGAAUGUGGGGGAAUUUUACUGAUUGUUGAAGUUUGAAUUACUCUGGCUUAUUUGUGGGUGUUAUUAUAUACAGAAUGUGUGUGUGUACAAAUAAUAAAACGUCCAUUAUCAGCAUCUUGUUAUAUGAUAAUUUCAAUUAAAUAGCAUAAUUUGAUUCAUUGAUGAAAUGAUACUAAUAAUAUCUACCAUAAACUUGAAAUACUGAACAAUCCUGUAAACCUUCAGAAUCUAAAGAAAGAUUAAACUGAGGCUUAUUGGGUUUUUGUAUUAUUUUUCUUUUUUAUUCUUAGAACAGGAAUGGUUGAACUAAUAGUUGUAGUGACCUCCCAAAUCACAAGUUUACAAACUAUGUUUUUAUUAGUUUAAAAAUUAGAAUACAGAGUAAUGGGUUUUGUGAUGGUAUUUUCUUACAUACUUAUUGUAUCCUCUUACCUCCCAUCUUUUCGCCAGUCCCCUGCCCCUUUGUUCUGGUCCCCAUCCUUAUUUUAUUGAUCAUCCUUCUCCCACGUCACCUGUGUUUUGUUACUCUCUUUUCUUUUUCCUUUUCUCCCUCCCAAGUCUUCACUUUCUCCCCACUAUUCUCAUGUUCUCCUUUCUAGUUUCACAAACUAUAUACAAACAUGAAAAUUUAAAUCUAGGAGUCUUAUCUAGAGGAAACAUGCAGUAUUUGAUUUUCUAAGUCUAGGAGAAUAAGCUUAAGAUAACAAUUUCCAGUCUAUCCAUUUUCUGCAAACAUCAUGAUGUCAUUAUUUUUGUUAUAACUGAGUACAAUUCUAUUAUGUAUAUAUACCACAUUUUUGUUAUCCAUUCUUCUGUGGAUUGACAUCUAGGCUGGUUCCAUUAUAAAUUAUGAAACAAAAAAAAUGAAUGUACAAAUAUAUCUGAUAAGACUUAGAGUCCUUUGGAUAGAUACUCAGGAGUGUUGUAGUUGUAUGAUAUGGUAGUUUAAUUUUUAUCUUAUUGAGAACCUUCCAUACCAAUUCUCAUGGUAACUGUAUAUGUUUACAUUCUUACCAACACUGAAUAAAGUCUCCUCUUACCAUG
This is a long non-coding RNA of Peromyscus californicus insignis, 3091 nucleotides long. RefSeq lists it as uncharacterized. The transcript has 2 exons. NCBI's taxonomy places the organism in Eukaryota, Metazoa, Chordata, Mammalia, Rodentia, Cricetidae. The record is from RefSeq and is a predicted model, not a curated record.